AACUAGUUGCUCCAUAAUUUGUUGACUCUACUAGCUUACAAUAAGUUGACACAGCAUUUUGGUGAGGAGAGUAAUUAAACUUAUCAUACUUCAGUAACCUUUACUUGAGAAGUAUGAGUGUCUCCACACCCUCCCAACAGUUGGUGGCGGUAAUGCACCAUGCUGGAUGCCAACCGCCAAUACAAAUCAACGAAGAAGAGAUUGCACAUGCGCAGUUCCUCCUGAGACGUUGGAUUUGAACCAUCACGCGGCAAAAGAACGUUUGUCUGGAUUUGGUUUGAAGCGUUAAUGCAGAGACUGCCAAGCAGGAAGUGCACUUCACGCUCCCGCUCAAGGUUCUGUCAGAGUUCUUUCGCUUAACCAGCAAAAACCUCAAAAUCGAGUUUUUCAAAGAACUGGACAAAUACACUCCUCGCUGUCUUGACAUUUUCAAGUCCAAGGGUGGAUGUACCGGCUACUUAAGGCGUAUUUGCAUCAUCAAAUCGCACUGGGGGUACGUUUCUCAUGCACAUUAAUGAUUUAAUGGUGUCAGCAAAAUAGUGUAACCACAUUGUAUUUUCAGAGCUGUUAAUUGAUGGUCCUUGACCAUUUAUGGGUGAUAUGUAUGAAAUUAUCUUUCAGAAUACAGAUGUUACUGCUUAGUAAACAGCAGUCCUCCGUGGCCUUCCCAUCCUCCUUGGAGAUGAGAACAAAGACUUCUUCAAGACAUACUUUGACUGUGAUGAACCGGAACUGGCCAACACCUCCAUUGAGAUCCUAACAGUAAUCCCGGAAGGUACCCCACCUCAAGGAACACACCAGCAUUUUGGGUUUUUAGCUUAUUCACCCGAAUUCCCCAGAGUUAGAUAA
Misgurnus anguillicaudatus (oriental weatherfish) is the source of this 849-nucleotide non-coding RNA. Lineage: Eukaryota; Metazoa; Chordata; Actinopteri; Cypriniformes; Cobitidae. The record is from RefSeq and is a predicted model, not a curated record.